RNAcentral lists this ribosomal RNA (400 nucleotides) under uncultured bacterium. RNAcentral's name for it is "bacterial SSU rRNA". It matches the Rfam family "Bacterial small subunit ribosomal RNA", at positions 355 to 770 of the family's 1533-position model. The record is from RNAcentral.
UCAAGAAUAUUCCUCAAUGGGCGAAAGCCUGAAGGAGCGACGCCGCGUGUAUGAUGAAGCCCCUCGGGGUGUAAAAUACUUUUAUUAGGGACGAAUCUAUGACGGUACCUAAUGAAUAAGGGGCUGCUAACCUCGUGCCAGCAGCAGCGGUAAUACGAGGGCCCCAAGCAUUAUCCGGAUUUACUGGGCGUAAAGGGUCCGCAGACGGUUUGUCGCAUCUCCCGUUAAAUCCCGAGGCUCAACUUCGGAACCGCGGGAGAGAUGGAUAAACUAGAGGCCGGAAGAGGCAAAUGGAAUUGCUGGUGUAGGGGUUAAAUCCGUUAAUAUCAGCAGGAACACCGAAUGUGUAAACAAUUUGCUGGGACGGUCCUGACGUUCAGGGACGAAAGCGUAGGGAGCA